AACGAACGCUGGCGGCAUGCCUAACACAUGCAAGUCGAACGAGACCUUCGGGUCUAGUGGCGCACGGGUGCGUAACGCGUGGGAACCUGCCCUUAGGUUCGGAAUAACUCCCCGAAAGGGGUGCUAAUACCGGAUAAUGUCUUCGGACCAAAGAUUUAUCGCCUUUGGAUGGGCCCGCGUUGGAUUAGCUAGUUGGUAGGGUAAAAGCCUACCAAGGCGACGAUCCAUAGCUGGUCUGAGAGGAUGAUCAGCCACACUGGGACUGAGACACGGCCCAGACUCCUACGGGAGGCAGCAGUGGGGAAUAUUGGACGAUGGGCGAAAGCCUGAUCCAGCAAUGCCGCGGAAGUGAUGAAGGCCUUAGGGUUGUAAAGCUCUUUUACCCGGGAUGAUAAUGACAGUACCGGGAGAAUAAGCUCCGGCUAACUCCGUG
RNAcentral lists this ribosomal RNA (433 nucleotides) under uncultured bacterium. RNAcentral describes it as "partial 16S ribosomal RNA". It matches the Rfam family "Bacterial small subunit ribosomal RNA", at positions 29 to 507 of the family's 1533-position model. The record is from RNAcentral.